This 30-nucleotide non-coding RNA is filed under the name Homo sapiens (human). Lineage: Eukaryota; Metazoa; Chordata; Mammalia; Primates; Hominidae. The record is from RNAcentral.
UUGGUCUAAUGACUGCCAAUCAUUUGCCCC